RNAcentral lists this ribosomal RNA (468 nucleotides) under uncultured bacterium. RNAcentral's name for it is "partial 16S ribosomal RNA". It matches the Rfam family "Bacterial small subunit ribosomal RNA", at positions 28 to 507 of the family's 1533-position model. The record is from RNAcentral.
GACGAACGCUGGCGGCGUGCUUAACACAUGCAAGACGAACGGAAAGACCCUGCUUUUGUGGGGUGCUCGAGCGGCGAACGGGUGAGUAACACGUGAGUAACCUGCCCUUGACUUUGGGAUAACUUCAGGAAACUGGGGCUAAUACCGGAUAGGAGCUCCUGCUGCAUGGUGGGGGUUGGAAAGUUUCGGCGGUUGGGGAUGGACUCGCGGCUUAUCAGCUUGUUGGUGGGGUAGUGGCUUACCAAGGCUUUGACGGGUAGCCGGCCUGAGAGGGUGACCGGCCACAUUGGGACUGAGAUACGGCCCAGACUCCUACGGGAGGCAGCAGUGGGGAAUAUUGCACAAUGGGCGGAAGCCUGAUGCAGCAACGCCGCGUGCGGGAUGACGGCCUUCGGGUUGUAAACCGCUUUCGCCUGUGACGAAGCGUGAGUGACGGUAAUGGGUAAAGAAGCACCGGCUAACUACGUG